UAGAAUCAGAGCAGCCUCUUCCCUCCCUGCCAUACAUUUUUAUUCUUUUCUUUUCCUCUUGAUUUUUAACUGCCAUCUGAAAUUAUUUUAUCUGUGAGGGCAGAGACUCUGUCUCAGUUAUUCACUGUAUCCCAGCAUAUACAAUAUUACCUGGAACAGUCUAGUCUCCUUAAAAAAAUAUGGAUAGACUGAAUGAAUUAACAUACUUUAAUAUAUUUACAUUAAAAAGAGUUAAAGGUUAUUUUUAAAUUAUAGUGUAAAGAUGUUGGUAUAUAUGAGUUAAAACUUCGGUUAUUUCUGAUGGCCAUUUCAAGACAACACAGACUGGGUAGUUCAUAAGCAAUAGAAAUGAUAAAGCUGCCCCUCGUGCUGGGUGGCAGCAUGUCUGGAUCCUGGUGAGAGCCCUCUUCCUAAUUGCAUACUGCUGACUGCAUAUAUCCUCAUGCGGAGGCGGAAAGAGAGUUAGAGAGCUCUCUGGUAUCUCUUUUAUAAGGGUGUUAAUUCUGUUCAUGAGAUCUCCACUCUCAUGACUGAAUUCACUCCCAAAAGCCCAGCUCCUAAUGAUCAGUAACUUCUCACAGCUAUUGGCUUGUGUGUUACUGACACAAACCCUUUCAGCCUACCCAGUGGCUUGCUGAUUGUUGCUGGACAAGUCAGUGUUUUUAGUUAGGCUCUCAGAACAAAACAUUCCCUCCAUCAUUCUGGAUGGC
RNAcentral lists this long non-coding RNA (710 nucleotides) under Marmota monax (woodchuck). The record is from RNAcentral. Lineage: Eukaryota; Metazoa; Chordata; Mammalia; Rodentia; Sciuridae.